UAGCUCAGUCGGUAGAGCACUUCGUUGGUAACGAAGAGGUCAGCAGUUCGAGUCUGCU
RNAcentral lists this transfer RNA (58 nucleotides) under Eggerthella sp. CAG:1427. RNAcentral's name for it is "transfer RNA-Thr(GGT)". It matches the Rfam family "tRNA", at positions 8 to 63 of the family's 71-position model. Rfam says of the family: Transfer RNA (tRNA) molecules are approximately 80 nucleotides in length. Their secondary structure includes four short double-helical elements and three loops (D, anti-codon, and T loops). The record is from RNAcentral. Lineage: Bacteria; Bacillati; Actinomycetota; Coriobacteriia; Eggerthellales; Eggerthellaceae.